Molecule: ribosomal RNA, 491 nt
Filed under: uncultured bacterium
Lineage: Bacteria
Description: partial 16S ribosomal RNA
Rfam family: Bacterial small subunit ribosomal RNA
Source: RNAcentral
AGUGAACGCUGGCGGUAGGCCUAACACAUGCAAGUCGAACGGCAGCACAGUAAGAGCUUGCUCUUACGGGUGGCGAGUGGCGGACGGGUGAGGAAUACAUCGGAAUCUACUUUUUCGUGGGGGAUAACGUAGGGAAACUUACGCUAAUACCGCAUACGACCUACGGGUGAAAGCAGGGGAUCUUCGGACCUUGCGCGAUUGAAUGAGCCGAUGUCGGAUUAGCUAGUUGGCGGGGUAAAGGCCCACCAAGGCGACGAUCCGUAGCUGGUCUGAGAGGAUGAUCAGCCACACUGGAACUGAGACAGGGCCCAGACCCCAAGGGAAGGCAGCGGUGGGGAUAUUGGACAAUGGGCGCAAGCCUGAUCCAGCCAUACCGCGUGGGUGAAGAAGGCCUUCGGGUUGUAAAGCCCUUUUGUUGGGAAAGAAAAGCAGCAGGUUAAUACCCCGCUGUUCUGACGGUACCCAAAGAAUAAGCACCGGCUAACUUCGUG